This 70-nucleotide transfer RNA is filed under the name Marmota monax (woodchuck). RNAcentral's name for it is "tRNA.Ala". The stretch from base 8 to 63 matches the Rfam family "tRNA", at positions 9 to 63 of the family's 71-position model. Rfam says of the family: Transfer RNA (tRNA) molecules are approximately 80 nucleotides in length. Lineage: Eukaryota; Metazoa; Chordata; Mammalia; Rodentia; Sciuridae. The record is from RNAcentral.
GGGGGGCAGCUCAGUGGCAGAGCAGAUGCCUAGCAUGCAUAAGGCCCUGGGUUCAAUCCUCAGCACUACA